GUUAUAGAUGACUAGAAUACCCUAUGAAGAA
RNAcentral lists this non-coding RNA (31 nucleotides) under Rattus norvegicus (Norway rat). The record is from RNAcentral. Lineage: Eukaryota; Metazoa; Chordata; Mammalia; Rodentia; Muridae.